RNAcentral lists this ribosomal RNA (501 nucleotides) under Gremmenia infestans. RNAcentral's name for it is "SSU rRNA". It matches the Rfam family "Eukaryotic small subunit ribosomal RNA", at positions 73 to 577 of the family's 1831-position model. Lineage: Eukaryota; Fungi; Ascomycota; Leotiomycetes; Helotiales; Hamatocanthoscyphaceae. The record is from RNAcentral.
UCUAUACUGUGAAACUGCGAAUGGCUCAUUAAAUCAGUUAUCGUUUAUUUGAUAGUACCUUACUACUUGGAUAACCGUGGUAAUUCUAGAGCUAAUACAUGCUAAAAACCUCGACUUCGGGAGGGGUGUAUUUAUUAGAUAAAAAACCAAUGCCCUCCGGGGCUCCUUGGUGAUUCAUAAUAACUUAACGAAUCGCAUGGCCUUGUGCCGGCGAUGGUUCAUUCAAAUUUCUGCCCUAUCAACUUUCGAUGGUAGGAUAGUGGCCUACCAUGGUUUCAACGGGUAACGGGGAAUUAGGGUUCUAUUCCGGAGAGGGAGCCUGAGAAACGGCUACCACAUCCAAGGAAGGCAGCAGGCGCGCAAAUUACCCAAUCCCGACACGGGGAGGUAGUGACAAUAAAUACUGAUACAGGGCUCUUUUGGGUCUUGUAAUUGGAAUGAGUACAAUUUAAAUCCCUUAACGAGGAACAAUUGGAGGGCAAGUCUGGUGCCAGCAGCCGC